UCCCAGAUAGUACAGUGGUAAAUAAUCUGCGUGCCAAGCAGGAGAUGUGGGUUCAAUCCCUGGUCUGGGAA
This 71-nucleotide transfer RNA is filed under the name Bos taurus (domestic cattle). It matches the Rfam family "tRNA". Rfam says of the family: Transfer RNA (tRNA) molecules are approximately 80 nucleotides in length. Their secondary structure includes four short double-helical elements and three loops (D, anti-codon, and T loops). The record is from Rfam by way of RNAcentral. Lineage: Eukaryota; Metazoa; Chordata; Mammalia; Artiodactyla; Bovidae. RNAcentral also lists the same sequence under 2 other names.